This 799-nucleotide ribosomal RNA is filed under the name uncultured Glomeromycotina. RNAcentral describes it as "SSU rRNA". It matches the Rfam family "Eukaryotic small subunit ribosomal RNA", at positions 314 to 1114 of the family's 1831-position model. Lineage: Eukaryota; Fungi; Glomeromycota. The record is from RNAcentral.
AUCAACUUUCGAUGGUAGGAUAGAGGCCUACCAUGGUGGUAACGGGUAACGGGGUGUUAGGGCACGACACCGGAGAGGGAGCCUGAGAAACGGCUACCACAUCCAAGGAUGGCAGCAGGCGCGCAAAUUACCCAAUCCCGACACGGGGAGGUAGUGACAAUAAAUAACAAUACGGGGUCCUUACGGGUUUCGUAAUUGGAAUGAGUACAAUUUAAAUCUCUUAACGAGGAACAAUUGGAGGGCAAGUCUGGUGCCAGCAGCCGCGGUAAUUCCAGCUCCAAUAGCGUAUAUUAAAGUUGUUGCAGUUAAAAAGCUCGUAGUUGAAUUUCGGGGUUAGUAGAUUGGUCGUGCCACUGGUAUGCACUGGUCUUACUGAUUCCUCCUUCCUGAUGAACCGUAAUGCCAUUAAUUUGGUGUUGCGGGGAGACUGGACUGUUACUUUGAAAAAAUUAGAGUGUUUAAAGCAGGCUAACGCUUGAAUACAUUAGCAUGGAAUAAUGAAAUAGGACGUUCGAUCCUAUUUUGUUGGUUUCUAGGAUUGACGUAAUGAUUAAUAGGGAUAGUUGGGGGCAUUAGUAUUCAAUUGUCAGAGGUGAAAUUCUUGGAUUUAUUGAAGACUAACUACUGCGAAAGCAUUUGCCAAGGAUGUUUUCAUUAAUCAAGAACGAAAGUUAGGGGAUCGAAGACGAUCAGAUACCGUCGUAGUCUUAACCAUAAACUAUGCCGACUAGGGAUCGGAUGAUGUUAAUUUUUUAAUGACUCAUUCGGCGCCUUACGGGAAACCAAAGUGUUUGGGUUC